AUACGUAGGUGGCAAGCGUUAUCCGGAAUGACUGGGUGUAAAGAGCAUGUAGGCGGGAAUGCAAGUCAGAUGUGAAAUCUUAAGGCUCAACCUUAUUGAGCAUCUGAAACUGUGUUUCUUGAGUACUGGAGAGGAAAGUGGAAUUCCUAGUGUAGCGGUGAAAUGCGUAGAUAUUAGGAGGAACACCAGUGGCGAAGGCGGCUUUCUGGACAGUAACUGACGCUGAGAUGCGAAAGUGUGGGUAGCAAACAGGAUUAGAUACCCUGGUAGUCCACACCGUAAACGAUGGAUACUAGGUGUAGGAGGUAUCGACCCCUUCUGUGCCGGAGUUAACACAUUAAGUAUCCCACCUGGGAAGUACGGUCGCAAGACUGAA
This 376-nucleotide ribosomal RNA is filed under the name uncultured bacterium. Its description in RNAcentral is "bacterial SSU rRNA". It matches the Rfam family "Bacterial small subunit ribosomal RNA", at positions 523 to 898 of the family's 1533-position model. The record is from RNAcentral.